GACGAACGCUGGCGGCGUGCUUAACACAUGCCAGUCGAACGGAAAGGCCUGCUUUCCCUUGUGGAUUGCGGGUACUCGAGUGGCGAACGGGUGAGUAACACGUGAGUGAUCUGCCCCCAACUUGGGUAUAAGCCUGGGAAACUGGGUCUAAUUCCCGAUAGGACUGCAGGGUGGUGCCUGUGGUGGAAAACGAUUUUCUAGUGGUUGGGGAUGAGCUCGCGGCCUAUCAGCUUGUUGGUGGGGUAAUGGCCUACCAAGGCGGCGACGGGUAGCCGGCCUGAGAGGGUGGACGGCCACAUUGGGACUGAGAUACGGCCCAGACUCCUACGGGAGGCAGCAGUGGGGAAUAUUGCACAAUGGGCGGAGGCCUGAUGCAGCGACGCCGCGUGGGGGAUGACGGCCUUCGGGUUGUAAACUCCUUUCGACCGCGAGGAAGCCACCUGGUUGGAAGGGUGGUGACGGUAGUGGUAGAAGAAGCACCGGCUAACUACGUG
RNAcentral lists this ribosomal RNA (494 nucleotides) under uncultured bacterium. Its description in RNAcentral is "partial 16S ribosomal RNA". It matches the Rfam family "Bacterial small subunit ribosomal RNA", at positions 28 to 507 of the family's 1533-position model. The record is from RNAcentral.